AAAGUCGUAACAAGGUUUCCGUAGGUGAACCUGCGGAAGGAUCAUUACAGGAGGGAUUGGAGGGGGGAUGAGGAUGAGUUGAAAUGUGUGGGGGAGGGAGGGAUGAGGAGGGAUGGGCAUGCAGUGAUGUGUGUUCUCUUUCUUCAUUUUCAUUUCCCCAUCGCAUCAUUAUAUUUAGCCAUACACAAUCUACACCAUUUACAACUUAUAACAAUGGAUCUCUGGGCUCUU
This 231-nucleotide unclassified non-coding RNA is filed under the name Basidiomycota sp. RNAcentral describes it as "partial contains small subunit ribosomal RNA, internal transcribed spacer 1, and 5.8S ribosomal RNA". The stretch from base 1 to 47 matches the Rfam family "Eukaryotic small subunit ribosomal RNA", at positions 1785 to 1831 of the family's 1831-position model. Lineage: Eukaryota; Fungi; Basidiomycota. The record is from RNAcentral.